AACUUCGUUCAUAACGUGUUUUAUAAAUGGUUUUAUAUUAGAAAAGAAAGAUUAAUAGAAAACUUUAGUAUUUCUAAGACGUUUUAUAAAGCAACGCCAACGGCGAGUAUUCUACGUGUAUCUAUAUCGACCUUUUGUUCAGUUUAAUCACAGCAAGAUGGUUUUUGCUUCAAAUGUUAUGGCAUAUGUGUACCGUUUGUACCGUUAUAACACUAACAGUUACUAACAGUAAGUAUCGUUGUGCAUUUAAAUCGAAUUUUGUGAUUUAUAUAAGUAAAAAUACGCUGUUUUGGUCAGCUGUGGUCAAAAUAUUUGAUCGGGCGCCAUUUUGCGAAAAUUAAACGAAGCCAUUGCGUUUGCAUUGAUCUUCAAUCAGUGGCGGAAAUUCACUUUUUCCGGGGGGGGGGGGCGGGGGGAGCAAAGCCUCCUAAAUUUCCGACAAAACUUUCAAAUUUCUGACAUACCCCCCAUUUGCACUCGAAAAACCUGUUUUUAGCGCUCUUUUAGGUCAAAAUUUCCAAAGAUUUGUCCCCCCGUCCCACCAACAUUUCCGCCACUGUCUUCAAUAGUGAGCUUAAGCUAGUGACAUUUUUGACAACACGAAUGGCAUGAGUAACGUCAGAAUACUGGAUCAAGGGCUGUGAUUGGUGAAAAACGUCACAUAGGUCGACGUCCGUGUUGUCAAAACCUCACUUGCUUUAGCUCGCUAAUCAGGCAAGCAGCUGUGGUGUCUGUACCACUGCUACCAAAAUGGCAAAAUAUCAUCAAGCCACUGUGCCAACUGCUGCCAAAACAUCAGCAAGGCACUGGCACUGUGACACAGCUGCUACCAAAAUAUUAGCAAACCACUGCUACCAAAAUAUCUGCCAGCCACUGCGACACAGCUGCUACCAAAAUAUUAGCAACACAUGACACAUUCCGUGACACAGCUGCUACAGUGACACAGUGGGUUGCUGAUACUUUGGUUACCAAAAUAUCAGCAAGCCACUGUGCCACACAGCUGCUACCAAGAUAUUAGCAAGCCACUGGUACCAAAAUCUCAUCAAGCCACUGUGCUACUGCUAAUUGUCUUGCCAUUGUGCAGGUAAACAAAUUGAACCUCACCAUUAUGCAGGUAUAUAUAUAAAAAUACCCAGAUUGGGGAUUAUAAUACAACUGCCCUAGCUGCCAACUUGCUGGUAAAAGGCUUUUACCAUUAAGGACUGUUUCACUUGACUGGAAUUAUUGGUGUCACACUACAAUUUUACCCCAAGUAAAAUAAUAUCUCGACUGAAAGGUAAAUUCUGGAAUCAAAUGUUGAUGGUGUUCUAUUUAUUAUAAAUGCAUUUUGUCUGCCAUGUCUUAAAAGCCUAGUGACUCGAACUGGCGAAAAUAAUGUUGUUCAGCACAGAUGGACUAUGCUAUCAUAUUAUUAUUAUUAAGACUUUUGAAUGAUGUCGAGGAAAAUCCAGGUCCUAGAUUUAUUAAUGACAUUUUUUAUUAUACUUAUACAGUUCAUGCCGAUUUCCAUCAAGGUCAUGUAUUAAUACUUGUAGAAGUAAAUGUUUAUUUUGCAUUAUCAGAAGCUUCAGUGACAGUGAAGCCAGUCCAACGACUGCAUAGGCUAUCAUCAAAGUCUUUCAACAUAAUUUAUUAAACAAGAGUAUUAAACAGUUCAUACAUUUUUCAUUUUACGGACUUGGCUUGUAAAUUAUUAAGCAGAAGCCACAAGGCAGCUUCAGGGGCGUAGGAAGCAACGUGGAGUUGGGGGGGGGGGGGGCCCCAAAAAAANNNNNNNNNNNNNNNNNNNNGGGGGGGGGGGGGGGGACACUACAUAAGAAGGGCACCUUUUUAUUAUAAAGGCAUUUUCCCCAUUGUUUUAUCAAAAAAAUUGGUACUUUGAGGGUAACUUGGGGGCAGGGGGUACGUACCCCCAGUGCUCCCCGGUUCCUAUACCAUAGACCUAAAUUUUACAACCGGCCCCUGGUUGUUAUAACAGUGGAGAAAAAACACGUCGGUUUGUGCAAAUGCAAAUACCGAUUCACUCCCAAUAAUAAGCCACCCACCCCAAUACGCCAUACGGAACGAAAGCUUUCCUUACUAAAUGUGACUGUUUUUUGCAUUCAGCUAGAAUGUUAAGGACUCCGGGAAUUGCAAACUAAAAUUAAACAAAAGAAACACGUUAAAAUGGCCCAUAGAACAAACUAGAAAUUGGAACAUAACGAUAGCUGUUAUCGUAAUUGAAUACGUCUAUGCUACGUACCAGUGGUAUCUGCAUUAUUUUAACAUCGAGACGAGGCUAUAGGGUCAUGUUUUGUGUUUUUGACCCUUUAGCCUCGUUUUCGUGCGUACUUCCACUGAGAUACUGCUGGUAUUCCGCAGCGGCGUAUUCAAUUACGAUAACAGCUAUUAAAAUAACCAUGCAACCGUUACUAUGCCAACCGGCUAAAUUUCACGACGUUGGCGAACAGAAUUGAUUUCCGUUAAUAGGUAAGUGAAGUGUUUCUUCCUCAUGGCCAAAGGCCUUAUGAAUUUUGUUUCAUGUAUUCGCCACGGAUAUAUUAGAUUAACUUAAAAAAUAAGUAUAUCAUAUAGUAUGCAAUUUACAGAGUUCAAAACUGAAAUAAAUAUCUGAGGUGUGACAGUCAAAAGAAAACAGAACUUUCAUCUUAAUAUCCAGCCUGAUCCGAACCUACAGCCUGAAAUUUGCAUUUAGACACCCAUUUUUAUCAGAACUAAUUCAGCCUGAUUUUUAGAAUGCAGACAUUAAAGCCACGUAAUACAACUUAAAUAUUCUGGGAAAAGCCGCUUAGUAUAGCUUAGAUGGCAGUUUUGCCAAAAUUGGACGGGGCGAGUCCAAUUUGGCAAAUUUCCAAACAUCACGAGUACUAUUAAUCCCUAAUUGUACGAGCAACAACGCAUGAUUACUUGUUUAUUAUUAGCAUGACAAAAUUGGAUACGUACUUUUCAAUGUCAACAUCAUAUUCUCUCGCCAAAGCCCAGUCCUGCCAGACUUUCAACCAAAAUUUGGUGCUUUUGUUUGUAUUUUCAUUUAGUUGUUUUGUUCAAGCAAAAUUUGGUGCUUUUGUUCGUAUUUUCAUCUAGUUCCUCUGGGGCAAUUUCAUUUCACGCUUGUGUUUAAAAUACGUUUCCGCCAUUUUGUUUGUUUUGGGAAAAUCAUUAAUUGUACUGCAGUUCAAUUAAUGAAAUAAUUGUACUCCUCUCAACCAAUCAGCAUCCAGUAAUUUUGUUAUGCUAAUAAUAAGCUAAUUAACCCUAGGUUAACCCGAACUUCAAAGCAAACUUCUUGAUAGGCCGUGGGCAACAGUGCGAAAAAAGUGCCUAGAAAAGCAAUUUCGUGGCACCCUCCUGGGAAAUAGAUUUUCUGUGGUUCAAUUCAUAGAACCAUAGAUGCUUAAUUACCACAAAAAGUUCCCAAGCAAAAAACUUGCCCAACACCGAGAAAAUGGGUGAUCAGUGAUUAUCCUCCAUUAAAUUGUAUUACAGCAAGAAAAUGUAAAAUUUUGUAUUCAAUUACAACAAAAAUUACUUGCAUUAUCAGAAAGCUUACAAAAACCUACAUAUAAGACAUUUAAACUGUUUUUUUAUAUCUAAAAUUGUUUUCGAGUUAUACGCUGUCAAAAACGCGUUUUUGACCUAGUACCCAGUCCUUAUUGCGAGUUUUUGGUCCAAUUUUCACAUUUAAAACAGCAAUAAUUCAAAGACUAUUUGAAAAAUCAAAAAACUGUUUAAAAGUCUUAUAUGCGGUUUUUUGUACGCUUUCCGAUGAUGCAAGUAAUUUUUAUUGUAAUUGAAUACAGAAUUUCCCUUUUUUUGCUGUAAUACAAUUUAAUAGAGGAUAAUCAUUGAUCACCCAUUUUCUCGGGAUUGGGCAACUUUUUUGCUUGGGAACUUUUUUUGGUAGUGAUGUACCUAUAUGCCUUUCAAAUAAACCCCAAACCAAGUAUUUCCCACAUGGGUGCCACGAAGCGGAAUAAUUUUGGCCAACAGCCCACGGCCUAUAUGGGUAAUAGUAUGGUUUCGAGUGUAAUUUGGGGAAAAACAUGCCGAGUGAGUUUUUCAAAGACGAUCAAAAUUGCACGAGUCCGAAGGACGAGAGCAAUUUGAAGUCUUUGAAAAAGCUCACGAGUGUAUGUUUUUCCAAAUUGCACUAGCCUGCGUGCAGGCCCAAGGGAACCUGCACGCAGGCUAAAAUUGCACGAGAAACCAUACCAUUACUUAUUAACAAUAUACAUGAAAAAAUUAUGCAGUCACUCCUAAAAACUAGUAAAUGUUUGUUCUUUUGUAUUAUUUCUGCUGGAAAUUGCUGUAUCGUAUUGGCUAUCUUUGUUAUUGUUUCAUAUUUUAAGCCAAUCAGAGAGCCUAAAUAGUCAAUGAAAUUUGCACUGUAUUUCUUUUUUUGCGCUGUAUUUCUUUUUUUGCACUGUAUUUCUUUUUUUGCACUGUAUUUCACUUUUUUGUACUGUAUUUUACUUCUCAGCAUUGUAUUUCGAAAAAAUUGCACUUCUCUUAGCCAAUCAAAAUUGAGAAAUUUUUUCAUGUAUAUUAUUAGUUUAUAAAUUGGAACUGUUUCUUUAGAAAUCUUGGCUGGGUCGAUAUGAGUUUACUUCCCGGAAGUUUUGCAAUAAACAUACAUAUGCGUAUUGCGUAAACAGAAAUGCACCAGUUAAAUUUUAACUGAGGGUUCGCGCUAACCCAUCUUUGAACAAUUCCUAUUCAUUUUGACCUUAAAAACUGUAGGUUCUUAAUAGUGGUAUUUUACUGUUCUCAGCGGUUGUUCCCAUCAUUCCCGUCAUGUAUAGCUAGCGGCUGACGUUUCGGCUUUCAAAAUGCGAGCCGAAACCUAUACUCGCCAGGGCACAACAGGUACCCCAGCGAGUAAAUACAAUAUUAUGUCAAUCAUAACUCAUAGUGGGGUUCCCUGUGUUCAAGCAUGAAAUUUGAUCCGUUUAGUACGGUGGCUCACAAGUGUCACGGCGAAAGUACGGCAAAAUUAAAUUAACUCAUCACGGCAAAAUUAAAUUAACUCAUGACGGCAAAAUUAAAUUAACUCACGGCAAAAUUAGAUUAACUCACGGCAAAAUUAAAUUAACUCACGGCAAAAUUAAAUUAACUCACGGCACAAUAAAAUUAACUCACGGCAAAAUAAAAUUAACGAAAUAGAAUUAUUACUGGAACCACUCAGUAUUUUUAUAAAAUACAAAAGAACAGUAACUCCGAAGAACAUUUUGUUUUGAUUUAUUGAAUCUACGUUUCGACUAGAUUGUAGUCAUCUUCAGGAUUAGUGUAAGAUUACAAAUACAGCUAUAUAUAAAGAGAGGAAAGGCGGAGCUUAAUGUCAGUGAAAUAUGAUCAAUUCUUUAGAGAGGGCCCUGAAGGGGUAAAAUGGGAACUGGGAUUGAUCUAUUUUUAGACUGGGAAAAUGGGAUUUGGGUUGCUGGGACUGGGAUUUGGCCACUGGGAAUGGGAAAUGAAGUCCUCAAAAAUGGGAAUGGGAUUGAGGUAAUGCGAUUCGAUUCCCAAUUUUUCUGCGUUUCAGUUGAGUAUUUUAAAAUACAAUUUUGAUCCGUUUUUGUGUCUUUGGUCAUGAUUUUUGUUGUUAACUAUAUUAUUCAUAGCACUACCUGUGAAGUGAACAGGCAUACUCUGGCUCCCGGAAUUCUGGGUUUUCUGAUUAUGCAUUGCGUGUCUCAGAAUGCUGCAAAUGCUAUUUCCGGGAUUCAAAUUUAAAAAUUUUCCGUGCCUUCGGCACGAGCCCCCCCCCCCCUAAUAUUUCAUAAAGUGUCCACCACUUGCACACACGGUGGCUUAAAAGGUCUUAAAACUGUUUAUUCUACCGAUAAAUGAAGGUUUUUUUAUUGACUGGGAUUUCUAAUAAAAAUCCAACUGGGACUGGGAUUUUGUCAAACUUUCAGGUGGGAAAUGGGAUUAGGACCCCCCUUCAGGACCCUCUUUAGAUGCUUUAGCGCCAUGGUUUAGUUCCGGGUUUUUUGGUUUCCGGUUUCUGGAGGCGAAACCCGGAACUAAACCAUGGCGCUAAAGCAUCUAAAGAAUUGAUCAUAUUUCACUGACAUUAAGCUCCGCCUUUCCUCUCUUUAUAUAUAGCUGUAUUUGUAAUCUUACACUAAUCCUGAAGAUGACUACAAUCUAGUCGAAACGUAGAUUCAAUAAAUCAAAACAAAAUGUUAUUUGGAGUUACUGUUCUUUUGUAUUUUAUAAAUAGAAUUAAGAGGCCUAAAACAAAAUGUCCGGCACCUAUUGUCUCGUUUCGCUUGUGAGUUAUUUCUUCAGCAAAUUAUAAACCAUUAAUCUUCUCUGACUUUCCUUCCUAGUUCUUAAUUAUUUGUUUACUGUUUUAAGCUGAUUUGUUUAGGUAGGUACAUGACUUUUGUUAUAGCUUAAUUAAUAGUCAGAGAAGAUUAAUAGCUUAAUUUGCUGAAGAAAUUACUCGCAAGCCAUUUUGUUUUAGGCCUCUUCUAAGGCCGGGCCUUCCAACGUUAAAUUAAUUCUAUUUCGUAACUUUAUUUUGUCAUGAGUUACUGAACUUUAUUAUGCCGUGAGUUAAUUUAAUUUUGCCGUCAGUUACUUAACUACUUUAUUUUGCCGUGAGUUAAUUCUAUUUUGCCGUGAGUUAACUUUAUUUUGCUGUGAGUUAACUUUAUUUUGCCGUGAGUUAAUUUAAUUUUGCCAUGGCUAUUUACUUUCGCCGUGACACUUGUGGGCCACCGUAGUUUAGCAUGAAAUUCCAAAGUUUCCAAGCGCUGAAGUGGAAUAUGGAUUGUGGAAUGCGCAACCCAAGUCAGGAUGAAAUAUUUUAACAAAUAAACUUUCCCAACUUCAAAUGGCGUUAGAAUAAGUCGUUUUUAAUCUCCUAAAAUGAAAAUACUUCGUCUGUUGAGUACAAUCAUGGAUAUAAUAAAAACACCGAGUUUUUAUUAUCCAUGUGCAUGGUAAAAUGCACUUGUCAGUAUAUAACAUUUUAAAUGUCUGCUAAUUUUUUUGUUUAUAGCGAUUAUUAUUUUAUUGCCCAAAUUACAUAUAUGAGUAAAAAUUAACUAACUAAAAAUUCAUAAAACCAGUAUUAGGCCAAUGAAAAUUGAUAUCAUGUUUCUCGUCCCCGCCCGCAUGGGAUUUAUCUGCCGCACGAAAAUUUUUCAUUAUUCAUUAUUUUUGAAAAAUAGGCUUAAAAAACACCAAAUUCAUCUCCAGAUCAAAGUCUUAUUGCUGUAUUCCGCAAGCGCAACUCAAAUUGUAUCUUUCUAAAGAUAUUACUCGCCAGAAUGCCUCUAUUUUUCAUGUCAGCCCUGGUAUGUGUAGAAAUAUACUGUAGUCUGUAGACUGUAGUGUAGGACGUAUUAAAUUAAAAUGAACUAUACAUCAAUUUUUAAUACUUCAGAUUUUUAUGGGGGUUUUUGCUGGGUCAAGGAAAUUAUUGACAAGCAGAAUUCAAAUACAAAAAAUAAUGAAAAAUGAAAAAUCCCGCUCCAAAUUUUUGAAAAUUGUGGACGAGAAAAUUAUAUCAAUUUUCAUUGGCCUUACGGCAGUAUAUUGUCAAGUCUUAAGACUUUAAAUAAAGGACAGAACGGAUACCUAUAGUGCUAUACUCACAAGUAGAAUAACUAUAAAUGCUCAAAACAUCGAAUCCUUUCUAAGUGCUAUAGUCAAUUAAUUUACCGCGAGGCUUGCAAGCUUAAUAUUAAAAAUGGAAACGCUAAAAAACAAACACUAUAGAUUGUUUACUUACAUAAAGUCCCCACAAGCCGAUACUACCAGAAUAUACGCUGCUUAUUUUGCUCAUCGCGACACCACCACAAAUCACGGAGAUCAAUGUAAGUACCAACAACGAACAUCCAACCGCGAUUGAGCCCGCACAUACACCCUCUGACAUGGUCAUUUUUUUGCUGGUUUUUGAGAAUUUCCAAAAGAUGAAAGACUCUCUAGUAAGUUCUGUUGAGUUCUGUUCAGCACAAUGUCAAUGAUUGCUGGGGACCGUUUUAAAAAAAUCGUGUAGUCCUGCCUAUGUCAACAAUCCGACAUGUAUUGUGACGCUUAGAACUUCCUGUAGUUCUGCCUAUGUAAUCGUAAUCGAUCUCACAUGCAUUACGAAGCGUGUUCGUUCCAAGAUCGUUAUUAGAUAGCUUAAGAUCUACGACGUCGACGUCAGCUAGGACGUCAGCAAUCUCGUUCCCCGAGCCUGCGAUCCUCGGGAAGGAAUCGAAGGCUCUGGGAUAAUCCGUUACCGGAAGCCAAGAAUCAUGGCUAAGAUUGAACUACGCAUUCCAUGUCAAUGGCCAAUCAGAUUCCUCCCUGAAACGGAUUAUCCCAGAGCAUUCGAUUCCUUCCCGAGGAUCGCAGGCUCGGGGAACGAGAUUGGGACGUCAGGGCUAUGCAGAGGACUGGGACUAGGAUGUCGUCCUAAUGUAGUCCCAGUCCUCUGCUUAGCCCUGACGUCCUAGCUAACGUCGACGUCGCAGAUCUUAAGCUAGAAAGUGGGAAUUUGCAAAAAGAAAACACAGGUAGUUUAUAAGGCAACUGUCAUGCGUGAGCAUGCGCACGGACGUUUACUUCACGCGGGUCAGCAGAGGCCAACAUCACUCCAUCUUAAAGCCCAUGCGUCUGGCGACUAGUAUAUUUAUAUAUAUUUACGCGCAUAUUGUAAAAUUUAUACAACGUGCAGAUAAAUGAAUACAAGAACCAACAGAACAAAGUCCUGCACUUCCAUUUGAUAUCAAAUAUGCCAACUAAGCUGUGGGCGACGUACCAGAAACUGAUGACCGACAUAUUUUACGUGCCGAGAAGUUAAGAAUGUAGCAUUCAAGUGUCGCCUUAUUUUAGCUUCGAUAAACUUUUUUCUUGGGCAAGUUAUGAAGGCGCAAUUAUGACUGGUAACUAAUUGAAUAUCAGGCUAAGAGUCGCAUGUUUUCAGUAAUAUUAAAUUAUUUAGCCGAAAUUACGUCGAUUGGGCUAUUUGCGAUAAGUUGAAGUGUAUAUGAAAUGGAAUUUCUUAUUUUCUGAAAUCAAAUAACUCGUUAAGCUGUAGUAUAACUUAUUUUUCAGUUUCUUGUUUUUAUGGUUUGUUCCCGAGACAUUUCAAUUUGUUUGAUAUGUAAAUGAGUGUGAAUAUGUCCGCUAAUUUAUGAUGUCACAUUGGUUGCAAGCUCUUCAAAAUGGUUGAAUAUCACUGCUAUCAUCCAAGAUGAUAAUUUCAAACUUCACUCACUGGUAAAUGUGAUGAAACACUGGAGAAAAACGUGAACUGAUAUCAACAGUUUUUAGAGUUAAUAGAUUUAUAACCAGUGUAAGUUGAGCUUGUAACCAACAUGACGUCAUAAAUUAGCGGACAUAUUCACACUCAUUUACAUAUCAAACAAAUUGAAAUAUCUCUGGAACAAACCAUAAAAACAAGAAACUGAAAAAUAAGUUGCACUACAACUUAAUAAUUAAAGAGUUCUUUCAUUUAAGAAAAUAAGACAUUUCGUGUCAUAUACACUUUAAUUAAGACUGCUUUCCGGUCACGCGUUUUUCAUACGUGCGUAUACGCACGAAAAAGUUGAAUUUUUUAUAAACAUUACCAGAAAUGUGGGUCAAGAUGGUCGAUAUGAUAAAAGUUACGCAACAAAAUGGCGUCCGAUACGGCUAGGAUUAGUAUAGGCAUAUAAGAACUUUCUAAAAUAUCGCAUCAAUGAGCCGCAAAUCACGCUUACUUGGCAUCGUUUUACAUCGGUUUAGGGAUGUCGCGAGACUUUCGGGAAAUACUCGAGCCGCAGGCUAGUGUAUUUUUACGCUUUUCGAAAGUCGAGCAACAUCCCAAGUGCAUGGAUCACGCUAUCCUGCUUGGAAAACCAUUUGGUAAUUGUUUUAUAAAAUAACUGCAGUGAAACAAUGACAUUUUAAGAAUCCCGCGAAGGCAUUUAAUUCUCGUGCAGGAUAGCCUGAUCCUGUACGGCUAUUGACCAAUCAAAUUGCGUGUUUCACUGUAGUUAUUAUAUGUAUGAUUCUGUAUGGGGCGGCCAUAAGCUUGCAUCUGAGUAUGACUUUGAAUGUUGGCUACUUAUUUAAACAUAUAGAUAUUACUCCCUUGCUGAUUUUAACAUCAUUUCGUUACGUUUCAGGUGGCUGUGGGGACGUCUGAUGGUUAGAAGCUCAAACAAAAUAAAACAUAUCUAAGACAAUAAUGGCACAAAGGACGAUGGCGAACGCUGUAGAUAUAUUAAUAUGUUGGGGAAAUGACGACGAAAUGGCAAAUUAUGGUCAGUUGAAUGCAUAAUGAUGGUUAAGGUAAAUGGAAUGAAAUAUGAAGAUAGACACUGGUCUGUUUAAAGUGCGUAUGACAUGAAAUUUCUUAUUUUCUUAAAUGAAAGAACUCUUUAAGCUGUAGUGUGACUUAUUUUUUAGUUUCAUGAUUUUAUGGUUUGUUUCCGAGACAUUUCAAUUUGUUUGAUAUGUAAAUUAGUGUGAAUAUGUCCGCUAAUUUAUGACGUCACUUUGGUUGCAAGCUCAACUUACAUUGGUUAGAAAUCUAUUAACUCUAAAAACUGUAGAUAUCAGUUCACGUUUUUCUCCAGUGUUUCAUCACAUUUACCAGUGAGUGAAGUUUGAAAUUAUCAUCUUGUAUGAUAGCAGUGAUAUUCAACCAUUUUGUAGAGCUUGCAACCAACAUGACGUCAUAAAUUAGCGGACAUAUUCACACUCAUUUACAUAUCAAACAAAUUGAAAUAUCUCGGGAACAAACAAUAAAAACAAGAAACUGAAAAAUAAGUUACACUACAGCUUAAACAGUUCUUUCAUUUAAGAAAAUAAGAAAUUUCAUGUCAUAUACAUUAAGAAACUGGACGAUGCCUUGUCGCCAGUCUCGACGAGAAAUGAAAACCGGGAAGGGUUCUUCUCUCCCGCCACGGUGUAUAUAGCGUCUCGAGGUACCGUACGUUGACGAAGGGUUGACGAAGGGUUUAUGAAGGAAUGGCGGAUUUAGGGGAAUGAAAUAGGCGUUAUUUUUUGCUUCCGUGAAAUUUUGGGAAUCGUUUCCUUGAGUUCGUGAAUUUUUAUUGGUUUGGUGUAUCGAAAUGGUGCUGCAAAAUAAUUUGAAGUUCUUGGCGAACCACACGCGCAGCUUAAAUAUGGAAUGAACAUACCCGAACAAGAAUUGUGUGAACAGUGAUUUCAUAUUUUCACAGACCGUGGAAAUCCACCGAAUCCACCGUUUUACAACCUCUGGGAAGACGGCCAGAAAGCUAUGAAACUACGAAUAUAUCAGUGACUCCAUAUUUAUCUAGAGCGAGAACUCGAGUCCAAAGACUGAAGCCAAAGACGGAGCUAUUGGACGUCAGCUUCAGUCCCUUUCUAUUGCUUUUAUCUGCGCGGUUUGCAAGGAGUGUGCUGAGCUCCGAUUUAGAGAAUAGUACCAUGGUUUUACGAGCUGAUAAUUGGGUUAGCCAUUCGGUCCUAUAUAAGAAACUGGUAUUAGCUCGAAAAAUGGGAUUACGACCUUCAAAGCUAUAUUGGACGUAUUAGCCUUUCUGACGAUGACGAUUAUCUGCUAUUUUUUGGUGGCAUCUAAUUCUCGUUAACCAAUGCAGACAAUUAAAACAAUGUGAAAAGCGAUUUUUCAAAAUAAACUAACCAUUUACAACUAAACUAAUAUAUAUAUAUAUAUAUAUAUAUACAGGGUGUAUCAAAAUA
Molecule: long non-coding RNA, 11679 nt
Filed under: Paramuricea clavata
Lineage: Eukaryota; Metazoa; Cnidaria; Anthozoa; Malacalcyonacea; Plexauridae
Source: RNAcentral